AAUAACCAAAUAUAAUACUUGGGCUAAGGGUCAAGUUGGUAAUUUUUCUUACAUCUCCCCCUCCCGGAUAAUAUACGCCCCCUUUAAUUAAUUAAUAUCAUAAAUAAA
This 108-nucleotide small RNA is filed under the name Olea europaea subsp. europaea. Its description in RNAcentral is "Antisense RNA which regulates isiA expression". It matches the Rfam family "Antisense RNA which regulates isiA expression", at positions 1 to 116 of the family's 187-position model. The record is from Rfam by way of RNAcentral. Lineage: Eukaryota; Viridiplantae; Streptophyta; Magnoliopsida; Lamiales; Oleaceae.